ACGAAGGUGGCGAGCGUUGUUCGGAUUUACUGGGCAUAAAGGGCGUGUAGGCGGUUCAGAAAGCGGCGUGUGAAAUCCCGGAGCUCAACUCCGGAACUGCAUGCCGAACUGCUGAGCUAGAGGACAAGAGGGGGGUGCGGAACUCUAGGUGUAGCGGUGAAAUGCGUAGAUAUCUAGAGGAACGCCGGUGGCGAAAGCGGCACCCUGGCUUGUUUCUGACGCUGAGGCGCGAAAGCGUGGGUAGCAAACAGG
This 252-nucleotide ribosomal RNA is filed under the name uncultured bacterium. RNAcentral's name for it is "partial 16S ribosomal RNA". It matches the Rfam family "Bacterial small subunit ribosomal RNA", at positions 525 to 776 of the family's 1533-position model. The record is from RNAcentral.